GUGUCAUCUGUGAGGCAGCACAAGUGCUAAAACAACAGGUUUAGAAGAAGGUCAAGAUAAUUAAAAGGGGUGCCUGAAAUACAGUAUAAAAUGGAAUUGCCAGCUUGUACAUCUGUACUUAGAAUUCUCAGAAUCAAUAAUAAUGCAAUUAAAACAAGUUGGUGGUUUUGUACUGCUGUUUAUUGCUGUUGGAUUGGUCGACGCAUAAUGGUCAAGACUGUGGAAGAUUCAAGCUACUUCAGGAGCACCACUUGUGUAGCUUGAAAGGCAUUUUGAUCCUUUUCCUACUUUGAGUGUAACAGCAGAGUGCAAUGAGACUACAGUGUAUGUGGCCAGUAAAGAAAAAUCUGUUUGGUAAUGGUAAACCCAUCAAUAUGGCUGCUCUCACCCUGGGAGGCUGUGCUGCUAAAGGGGAAAAUGCUGCUUCUCAAGUCCUUAUCUACUGCAAUAGCAAGUUUUCUGUGAACGAGGAUGAACUGGCCUUUGUCUUUGCCCUUGGUUUUGCUUCAGAGCCUUUAAGUGGUACUCCCAUUUCAAUUCACUAUCCAAGGGUACCAGCUGGCAACACAAGUAACCCUUGGUCCAAUCAUGGUUGAG
Ictalurus punctatus (channel catfish) is the source of this 597-nucleotide long non-coding RNA. NCBI's taxonomy places the organism in Eukaryota, Metazoa, Chordata, Actinopteri, Siluriformes, Ictaluridae. The record is from Ensembl.